GAUGAAGAACGCAGCGAAAUGCGAUAAGUAAUGUGAAUUGCAGAAUUCAGUGAAUCAUCGAAUCUUUGAACGCGCAUUGCGCCCGUCAGUAUUCUGGCGGGCAUGCCUGUUCGAGCGUCAUUACGCCCCUCAAGUCCCCUGUGGACUUGGUGUUGGGGAUCGGCGAGGCUGGUUUUCCAGCACAGCCGUCCCUUAAAUUAAUUGGCGGUCUCGCCGUGGCCCUCCUCUGCGCAGUAGUAAAACACUCGCAACAGGAGCCCGGCGCGGUCCACUGCCGUAAAACCCCCCAACUUUUUAUAGUUGACCUCGAAUCAGGUAGGACUACCCGCUGAACUUAAGCAUAUCAAUAAGCGGAGGA
RNAcentral lists this unclassified non-coding RNA (358 nucleotides) under soil metagenome. RNAcentral's name for it is "partial contains 5.8S ribosomal RNA, internal transcribed spacer 2, and large subunit ribosomal RNA". The stretch from base 1 to 120 matches the Rfam family "5.8S ribosomal RNA", at positions 35 to 154 of the family's 154-position model. The record is from RNAcentral.